GAUGAAGAACGUAGCGAAAUGCGAUAAGUAAUGUGAAUUGCAGAAUUCAGUGAAUCAUCGAAUCUUUGAACGCACAUUGCGCCCGCCAGUAUUCUGGCGGGCAUGCCUGUUCGAGCGUCAUUUCAACCAUCAAGCCCCAGGCUUGUGUUGGGGACCUGCGGCUGCCGCAGGCCCUGAAAACCAGUGGCGGGCUCGCUGUCACACCGGGCGUAGUAGAUUUUAUCUCGCUCAGGGCGUGCUGCGGGUUCCGGCCGUUAAAAAGCCUUUUUUACCCAAGGUUGACCUCGGAUCAGGUAGGAAGACCCGCUGAACUUAAGCUUAUCAAUAAGCGGAGGA
This 336-nucleotide unclassified non-coding RNA is filed under the name soil metagenome. RNAcentral describes it as "partial contains 5.8S ribosomal RNA, internal transcribed spacer 2, and large subunit ribosomal RNA". The stretch from base 1 to 120 matches the Rfam family "5.8S ribosomal RNA", at positions 35 to 154 of the family's 154-position model. The record is from RNAcentral.